GACGAACGCUGGCGGCGUGCCUAAUACAUGCAAGUAGAACGCUGAAGAGAGGAGCUUGCUCUUCUUGGAAGAGUUGCGAACGGGUGAGUAACGCGUAGGUAACCUGCCUUGUAGCGGGGGAUAACUAUUGGAAACGAUAGCUAAUACCGCAUAACAAUGGGUGACCCAUGUCAUUCAUUUAAAAGGGGCAACUGCUCCACUACAAGAUGGACCUGCGUUGUAUUAGCUAGUAGGUGAGGUAACGGCUCACCUAGGCGACGAUACAUAGCCGACCUGAGAGGGUGAUCGGCCACACUGGGACUGAGACACGGCCCAGACUCCUACGGGAGGCAGCAGUAGGGAAUCUUCGGCAAUGGGGGCAACCCUGACCGAGCAACGCCGCGUGAGUGAAGAAGGUUUUCGGAUCGUAAAGCUCUGUUGUAAGUCAAGAACGAGUGUGAGAGUGGAAAGUUCACACUGUGACGGUAGCUUACCAGAAAGGGACGGCUAACUACGUGCCAGCAGCCGCGGUAAUACGUAGGUCCCGAGCGUUGUCCGGGUUUAUUGGGCGUAAAGCGAGCGCAGGCGGUUUGAUAAGUCUGAAGUUAAAGGCUGUGGCUCAACCAUAGUUUGCUUUGGAAACUGUCAAACUUGAGUGCAGAAGGGGAGAGUGGAAUUCCAUGUGUAGCGGUGAAAUGCGUAGAUAUAUGGAGGAACACCGGUGGCGAAAGCGGCUCUCUGGUCUGUAACUGACGCUGAGGCUCGAAAGCGUGGGGAGCGAACAGG
Molecule: ribosomal RNA, 765 nt
Filed under: uncultured Streptococcus sp.
Lineage: Bacteria; Bacillati; Bacillota; Bacilli; Lactobacillales; Streptococcaceae
Description: bacterial SSU rRNA
Rfam family: Bacterial small subunit ribosomal RNA
Source: RNAcentral